GAUGAACGCUGGCGGCGUGCUUAACACAUGCAAGUCGAACGAAGCACUUUAACCUGAUUCUUCGGAUGAAGGUUUUUGUGACUGAGUGGCGGACGGGUGAGUAACGCGUAGGUAACCUGCCUCAUACAGGGGGAUAACAGUUAGAAAUGACUGCUAAUACCGCAUAAGACCACAGAGCCGCAUGGCUCGGUGGGAAAAACUCCGGUGGUAUGAGAUGGACCCGCGUCUGAUUAGGUAGUUGGUGGGGUAACGGCCUACCAAGCCAACGAUCAGUAGCCGACCUGAGAGGGUGACCGGCCACAUUGGGACUGAGACACGGCCCAAACUCCUACGGGAGGCAGCAGUGGGGAAUAUUGCACAAUGGGGGAAACCCUGAUGCAGCGACGCCGCGUGAGCGAAGAAGUAUUUCGGUAUGUAAAGCUCUAUCAGCAGGGAAGAAAAUGACGGUACCUGACUAAGAAGCACCGGCUAAAUACGUG
This 479-nucleotide ribosomal RNA is filed under the name uncultured bacterium. Its description in RNAcentral is "partial 16S ribosomal RNA". It matches the Rfam family "Bacterial small subunit ribosomal RNA", at positions 28 to 507 of the family's 1533-position model. The record is from RNAcentral.